CUGUUUUCCCCUUUUGUAUGAUUAUGGUGUGUUUUGUUGGUCAGCAACUAUUCUGUCGUUCAUUUCGUUUAGCGACUCGUAAUUUGCAUAUGUUUGCGCAUCGCACAUGUUUCGCGUGCGCAGGUGUGAAUGAUUCUAUUUGGUAAAAUAGGCUUGGUAUAAUUAAUUUUGUGUUGUCUCAUUUGAGUCAGGUAUGUUGAUACAGCUGAGCCACCGCUAGGGCUGCCGUUUACCCCGUCUUUUCGCCAUAGGAGCCUUUAUGAAGCGGUACAACGUUGUUCCAGUUUCCGCACGCUCGGAGCAGAGCCCGACCUUUUUUUAUCAAGAAAGAGUCGGAGGCUUCAACUUAUCACUGGUAGCUCUAUGGUUAGGUUCGGCGAUUCUGGGCAUUGCAUUUUGUGGACCAGCCAGCAUUCAGCAACCCGAAAAGCUGAGGGACCAGGCCUCAAGACGCUCGGACAGCUGUCAACCACUGCGAGAGUUUUCCUAAGGUGUGUCCUAUAUCUCAGCUAGAGGUUGUUAUCUUGUUGCUCGUCAGGUCGGCAGACAACCUCGAGUUUGUAGCGAAAUUUCAGGUGAUUUGAUUUUUGUUUAUGAGCCGAUUUGCUUUUUGUUGGGUUUCUCGCUUGACAGUUUCUUGGACAACCCUAGGUAGAAAAAAAA
Long non-coding RNA from Branchiostoma floridae (Florida lancelet), 663 nucleotides. RefSeq lists it as uncharacterized. The record is from RefSeq and is a predicted model, not a curated record. Lineage: Eukaryota; Metazoa; Chordata; Leptocardii; Amphioxiformes; Branchiostomatidae. The transcript has 2 exons.